This 216-nucleotide long non-coding RNA is filed under the name Nicotiana benthamiana. RNAcentral describes it as "long non-coding RNA (NBEN_LNC000766)". Lineage: Eukaryota; Viridiplantae; Streptophyta; Magnoliopsida; Solanales; Solanaceae. The record is from RNAcentral.
AGCAGCAAUUAGUGUUUGGCCAAGCUUUUAAAAAGUGUUUCUAAGUGUAUUUUUCUCAAAGCUUCUACUCAAAAACACUUUUUUUUUCUUCUAAAAGCUUUGUCAAACACUUCAACUUUCAGAAAAGGCAAAUUUUUUGGGUUGAAAAAAGUGCUUUUGGCUUGGAGAAGCUUGACCAAACUUGCUAUAAGAUUUAGACAUAAAAACAAACUUUAG